RNAcentral lists this ribosomal RNA (245 nucleotides) under uncultured archaeon. RNAcentral describes it as "partial 16S ribosomal RNA". It matches the Rfam family "Archaeal small subunit ribosomal RNA", at positions 474 to 718 of the family's 1478-position model. The record is from RNAcentral.
CACCGGCGCCACGAGUGGGAGUCGAUUUUAUUGGGCCUAAAGCGUCCGUAGUCGGUUUGAUGAAUUUCUUGUGAAAUCAUUAGGCUUAACCUAAUGGCGUGCAGGAAACACUGUCAAACUUGGGACCGGGAGGAGUGUGAGGUAUUCCUUGGGGAGCGGUAAAAUGUUAUAAUCCUUGGAGGACCACCUGUGGCGAAGGCGUCACACUAGAACGGAUCCGACGAUGAGGGACGAAAGCUAGGGGA